AUUGAACGCUGGCGGCAGGCCUAACACAUGCAAGUCGAGCGAGCGGCGGACGGGUGAGUAAUGUCUGGGAAACUGCCUGAUGGAUGGGGAUAACUCCUGGAACCGGUAGCUAAUACCGCAUACCAUCAGAUGUGCCCAGAUGGGAUUCGCUAGUAGGUGGGGUAAUGGCUCACCUAGGCGACGAGCCCUAGCUGGUCUGAGAGGAUGACCAGCCACACUGGAACUGAGACACGGUCCAGACUCCUACGGGAGGCAGCAGUGGGGAAUAUUGCACAAUGGGCGCAAGCCUGAUGCAGCCAUGCCGCGUGUAUGAAGAAGGCCGUCGGGUGGUAAAGCACUGUCAGCGGGGAGGCGUUACCCGCAGAAGAAGCACCGGCUAACUCCGUGCCAGCAGCCGCGGUAAUAC
This 406-nucleotide ribosomal RNA is filed under the name uncultured bacterium. RNAcentral's name for it is "partial 16S ribosomal RNA". It matches the Rfam family "Bacterial small subunit ribosomal RNA", at positions 29 to 526 of the family's 1533-position model. The record is from RNAcentral.